GGAACUGCUGAGUCACAGCCUGAAACUCUGAUUGAUCACCUGCAGAGAGCCAUGAGUCAGCCAGAGGAGCACAGGUGAAGGCAAUUCAGCUGUGCUGCCCGAAGGGGUACAGCCUGGCUCCACCCCUCCUAGACCUAUUUAAGAGCUGGCUACCAGUGGGGAAGGAUCACUUCUGGAGAUCGCCUCUACUGGUGUUUUGUGGUGAGCCCAGGAUAGGGACGGUAAUCACAGGAAGUGGCAUUCACAUCUUCGGCGAUGGCUUAGCAAUAGGUUCUGCUGUUGGGUUCAGCUAGGUAAUAAUGUACACAGCGUUAAUGCCCACCAGGGUACUUCCGGUGCAAUCAAAAAGUAUCAGCAUGUGUGUUUUAAAAAA
Molecule: long non-coding RNA, 373 nt
Organism: Tympanuchus pallidicinctus (lesser prairie-chicken)
Lineage: Eukaryota; Metazoa; Chordata; Aves; Galliformes; Phasianidae
Exons: 3
Source: RefSeq, a predicted model, not a curated record